GAAAACCUCUUCAGGGAGUGGUUUUUCCAUUCUAACAUAGGCAUCUCAAAGAGGUAGAAUGAGUCACUUAACUGGAUGUGGCUCUCUCUCUUCACUGACUAUAGAUCUUCUGCACACAGUUCCAUGCUACAAGGUGUCUAAAAGCUGGAGUUAUAAACCACAGUCCCUGUUGAAGGUGGACGUAUAGCUGGAAAUCGGUGGUCCUGGAAUACUGCAGUAGCUCUGCUGACAGUGAGUUAUAAUUUACUCUGCAUGGAGUUUCACUGAUUUCAGAUGGAUGGCCUGUGGAGUACAAUGCUACCCAGCAUCAGACAGUCAUACAGCUGAACUGAAAGGUGCAUGCCCUGCCCAUGAACUCCCUCAUGUAGAAAAACUCUUAGAUGCUACAUGAAGAGGAGGCCGCCAUUCCCUGUGGAGGGAAGAGCUGGAGGGAAGCAGCGACUCCAGGCUCUGAGGUUUCUGCAGGUUGGACUGUGGUAUUUUCCACAGGGGUAAGCAGCAUCCCAGUCUCCAUGCAAGGUACGAAUUUAUGGUUCCUACCUCCAAGUCCUGCUGACCUCAAAACACAAACAGAGCUGGAAUCUACUGC
Long non-coding RNA from Dromaius novaehollandiae (emu), 589 nucleotides. RefSeq lists it as uncharacterized. NCBI's taxonomy places the organism in Eukaryota, Metazoa, Chordata, Aves, Casuariiformes, Dromaiidae. The record is from RefSeq and is a predicted model, not a curated record. The transcript is spliced from 5 exons.